GGCUUGUUGAAUAUAAUUUUAAGUUGGACCUGCCCACUGAAGGUUUUAAAUGGCCGCGGUAAAUUGACCGUGCAAAGGUAGCAUAAUCAUUAGUUUUUUAAUUAAAAGCUUGAAUGAAAGGUUUGAUGAAAGAAUAACUGUCUCUACAGGAUUUAAUUAGAAUUUUAUUUUUAAGUUAAAAAGCUUAAAUUUGUAUGGAAGACGAGAAGACCCUAUAGAGUUUAAUAUUUAUAUAGUUGAAUAAAAAUUUAGAUUAGUUAUAUAAAUGUUUUGUUGGGGUGAUAAAAAAAUUAAUAAAACUUUUUUUUGUAAUAAAACAUUUAUUUAUGUACUUAUGAUCCUAUAAUAGAUAAAAAGAUAAAACUACCUUAGGGAUAACAGCGUAAUUUUUUUUAGAGUUCUUAUCGGAAAAAAAGAUUGCGACCUCGAUGUUGGAUUAAAGUUUACUAUUGGUGUAGAAGCUAAUUAGUUGGGUCUGUUCGACCUUUAAAAUUUUACAUGAUCUGAGUUUAAACCGGUGUAAG
RNAcentral lists this ribosomal RNA (524 nucleotides) under Trigonopterus sp. 710 AR-2022a. RNAcentral describes it as "partial large subunit ribosomal RNA". It matches the Rfam family "Bacterial large subunit ribosomal RNA", at positions 1885 to 2625 of the family's 2925-position model. The record is from RNAcentral. Lineage: Eukaryota; Metazoa; Arthropoda; Insecta; Coleoptera; Curculionidae.